GCUGGGUGUGGUGGUGCACACCUGUAACCCCAGCUACUUGGGAGUCCAAGGCAGGAGAAUUGCAAGCUUGAGGCCAGCCUC
Molecule: small RNA, 81 nt
Filed under: Marmota monax (woodchuck)
Lineage: Eukaryota; Metazoa; Chordata; Mammalia; Rodentia; Sciuridae
Source: RNAcentral